Molecule: transfer RNA, 77 nt
Filed under: Ruminococcus sp.
Lineage: Bacteria; Bacillati; Bacillota; Clostridia; Eubacteriales; Oscillospiraceae
Description: tRNA-Arg
Rfam family: tRNA
About the family: Transfer RNA (tRNA) molecules are approximately 80 nucleotides in length. Their secondary structure includes four short double-helical elements and three loops (D, anti-codon, and T loops).
Source: RNAcentral
GCGUCUGUAGCUCAGUUGGAUAGAGCGUCAGACUCCGACUCUGAAGGUCGCAGGUUCGACUCCUGUCAGGCGCGCCA